CCUACGGGAGGCAGCAGUGGGGAAUAUUGGGCAAUGGGCGCAAGCCUGACCCAGCAACGCCGCGUGAAGGAAGAAGGCUUUCGGGUUGUAAACUUCUGUUACGGGGGAAGAGCAGAAGACGGUACCCCUUGAAUAAGCCACGGCUAACUACGUGCCAGAAGCCGCGGUAAUAUGUAGGUGGCAAGCGUUGUCCGGAUUUACUGGGUGUAAAGGGCGUGCAGCCGGAGAGACAAGUCAGAUGUGAAAUCCACGGGCUCAACCCGUGAACUGCAUUUGAAACUGUUUCCCUUGAGUGUCGGAGAGGUAAUCGGAAUUCCUUGUGUAGCGGUGAAAUGCGUAGAUAUAAGGAAGAACACCAGUGGCGAAGGCGGAUUACUGGACGAUAACUGACGGUGAGGCGCGAAAGCGUGGGGAGCAAACAGGAUUAGAUACCCUUGUAGUC
This 442-nucleotide ribosomal RNA is filed under the name uncultured bacterium. Its description in RNAcentral is "partial 16S ribosomal RNA". It matches the Rfam family "Bacterial small subunit ribosomal RNA", at positions 338 to 795 of the family's 1533-position model. The record is from RNAcentral.